RNAcentral lists this long non-coding RNA (1299 nucleotides) under Daucus carota (carrot). RNAcentral's name for it is "long non-coding RNA (DCAR_LNC007557)". The record is from RNAcentral. Lineage: Eukaryota; Viridiplantae; Streptophyta; Magnoliopsida; Apiales; Apiaceae.
AUGUUGAAAGCAAGAAGGUUUCAAUACCUUUUCGAUGUGGGAUGAGUAGUGUAUUACAAUGAGAGGAAAAAUACACAAACCACAUUGACUAAAUAAAUGAAGAAUAUUGUAAACAUAUAGAAGGAGCCAAGGUUAUGAGCAACAAUAAUUAAUUGGUUGUAGGCCCAGCUUCCCUUGUAACACCCAUGAGUGCUUUGUUAGAAUUUCUUUUCUUUUUGUGCUUUACUUUGCUACCACAUUGAUAAGAAAAAUGAAACUUGAUAGAUAUAUAUAGGAAAGGAGCAUGGCCUUUACCAACAACUUAAGCUAUUUACAUACUGCCUAGUUGGUACUAGCUCUAGUGUCAUCUUUAUGUAAAGAAUUUUAUUUUCAAUAUUUCAUUUUCUUUCUAUUGGACUUGGUACCACAUCGAGAAAGCUUGAGAAAUUCUCCCACUUUCCUUGUAUAAAUACACCAAGCUAGUUGGCUUUCCUAAUUAGGAAACUGAAGGCUUUUAAUUUGUAAGUCCUCGUAUUUUAUUCUUAUUUAUUUAUAUUUAUUAUUUGUUUACUAUUAUUAUUAUUUUAUUUAAUUGUAAUUAGUUAGUAAGGCUUUUUAUUAGUAGAAAUUUUGGUUUUGAGAUUUAAUAAAAUAAAAAAAUUGUUAAUUGCAAAUUGUGAUUUAUAUUGUUAGGAAGGGUUAAUAGUACCGAGGUUCGAGAUCGAGAAAGAAUUUAAAUUUAGAAGCGAUUUAAGGUAAGUAUAUACUGUACUUAUUCGCUGUUGAUGUUUAAUAUUUAAAUGAUGUUUUACUGAUGAAAAACGAGUAUUCUUGCAUUGAUACUUGAUGAACUGAUGAUGAUGCUUCCUUAUUGGAAGUAGAGCUAAACCGAUUGUUUAGCUGGCCGGGAUCCCAACUUGAUGAAUUGAUGAACUAAUCAUGCUUGAAUACUCGGUUUUAAUCUUGUGAGAACUAUUUUGCUGUGAUGAACCUUUGAUGAUAUUGAUAAAUUCUUGAUGAUUAUUUUAUCAAAAGAUUGUUUUAGUUCUUGGAUAAACCUCAGUUGAAUCGUACAAUAUAUGCUCACUGAGCUUUAUAGCUCACUCUUUUAUGUCACUAACUUUCUCAGGAAAGAAUUUUGGAGAAGGAUGUUCUGGAAAGGAUAAGAAUGUGAUGAACUAAGGUUUUAGUGGCAACAAGAGGCUUGUAGAGGAAGAUGUUAAUAUAAUAUGCUUGUGUUUGUGUUUAAGUUAGGAGCUUAUGAUGUAAUCUUUAGUUACAAACUUGAAGACGUUGUAAGAACUUUAUAUUAUGAAGUGU